AUGGGAAAUAAGCAAGACGAACUCCAACUCCUAGCACAGCACCACACAUAUGAUGUCAUAGGCAUCACUGAAACCUGGUGGGAUGACUCCCAUCACUGGAAUUUAACCAUUGAGGGCUAUAACCUCUUUCACAGAAAUAGAACAAAGGGGAGAGGAGGGGGAGUAGCUUUAUAUGUCAAAAACAGUUACAUUGCAGAAGAAAUGCAAGACUGUAAUCCGGGAAACCAGCUUGAAAGCAUCUGGAUAAGAAUCAAGGGAACCGGGACUCAAAAAGAUCUUGUCGUGGGUGUCUACUACAGACCUCCGAGUCAGGAUGAAGGACUUGAUGAAGCCUUCUGUCAACAGCUGACCAAACAGGCACAAAGAAGAGAUAUAGUAGUCAUGGGCGAUUUCAAUUAUCCCGAUAUCUGCUGGAAAACAAACUCAGCCAAGAGUACAAAGUCCAACAAAUUCCUCACUUGCCUUGCAGAUAAUUUUAUGGUCCAGAAGGUAGAAGAGGCAACAAGGGGAUCAGCAACUCUUGAUCUAAUCUUAACAAAUGUGGAAGACCUGAUAAAUACAGUUGAAGUGGUUGGAUCCUUAGGGGCAAGUGACCAUGUGCUCCUGCAGUUUGCAAUACAAAGGAAUGCUGAAACUAAGACAAGUCAAACAUGCAUUCUGGACUUUAAGAGAGCUGACUUCCAAAAAAUGAAGGAAUUACUGAGCGGCAUUCCAUGGACGCCGAUAUUAAAAAACAAGGGAGUUAAGGAUGGAUGGGAGUUUUUCAAAAGUGAAAUACUCAAGGCGCAAAUGCAAACAGUGCCAACAAAGAAGAAAAAUAAGACAAGUGCAAAGAAGCCAGAAUGGAUGUCCAAAGAACUUCUAACUGAGCUAAAGCUCAAAAGUGACAUGCACAAGAAGUGGAAAAGGGGAGAAAUCACCAAAGAAGAAUUCAAACGUAUAGCCAACACCUGUAGGGAAAAGGUUCGCAAGGCUAAAGCGCAAAAUGAGCUCAGGCUUGCCAGGGACAUAAAAAACAACAAAAAAGGCUUUUUUGCUUACGUUGGUAGAAAAAGGAAGAAAAAGGAGGCGAUAGGGCCAUUGCAAGGAGAAGAUGGGGUGAUGGCGACAGGGGACAGGGAAAAGGCAGAACUACUUAAUGCCUUCUUUGCCUCGGUCUUCUCAGAAAAAGAAAGCCAUCUUCAACCUCAGCAACACGGAAUGGACGAAGGAUUGGGGGAAAUCCAACCCCAAAUAGGGAAACAAGUUGUCCAGGAACACUUGGCCUCUCUAAACGAAUUCAAGUCCCCAGGGCCAGAUCAGCUACACCCAAGAGUACUGAAGGAACUAGCGGAAGUUAUUUCAGAACCACUGGCAAUUAUCUUCGAGAGUUCUUGGAGAACGGGAGAAGUCCCAGCAGAUUGGAGGAGGGCGAAUGUGGUCCCUAUCUUCAAGAAGGGAAAAAAGAACGACCCAAACAAUUACCGUCCGGUCAGCCUCACAUCAAUACCAGGCAAAAUUCUGGAAAAGAUCAUUAAGGAAGUGGUCUGCGAACACUUAGAAACAAAUGCGGUCAUUGCUAAUAGUCAACACGGAUUUACCAAAAACAAGUCAUGCCAGACUAAUCUGAUCUCUUUUUCGAUAGAGUUACGAGUUGGGUCGAUACAGGGAAUGCUGUGGAUGUAG
RNAcentral lists this long non-coding RNA (1665 nucleotides) under Anolis carolinensis (green anole). Its description in RNAcentral is "lncRNA (ENSACAG00000044529.1)". The record is from RNAcentral. Lineage: Eukaryota; Metazoa; Chordata; Lepidosauria; Squamata; Anolidae.